This 253-nucleotide ribosomal RNA is filed under the name uncultured microorganism. Its description in RNAcentral is "partial 16S ribosomal RNA". It matches the Rfam family "Bacterial small subunit ribosomal RNA", at positions 524 to 776 of the family's 1533-position model. The record is from RNAcentral.
UACGUAGGGUGCGAGCGUUAAUCGGAUUUACUGGGCGUAAAGCGUGCGCAGGCGGCCCGUUAAGACAGGUGUGAAAUCCCUGGGCUCAACCUGGGAACCGCAUUUCGAACUGGCAAACUAGAGUCUUGUAGAGGGGGGUAGAAUUCCAGGUGUAGCGGUGAAAUGCGUAGAGAUCUGGAGGAAUACCGAUGGCGAAGGCAGCCCCCUGGGCCUGUACUGACGCUCAUGCACGAAAGCGUGGGGAGCAAACAGG